CCCUACGGGAGGCAGCAGCGCCGCGUGCAGGAAGAAGGUCUUCGGAUUGUAAACUGUUGUCGCAAGGGAAGAAGACAGUGACGGUACCUUGUGAGAAAGUCACGGCUAACUACGUGCCAGCAGCCGCGGUAAUACGUAGGUGACAAGCGUUGUCCGGAUUUACUGGGUGUAAAGGGCGCGUAGGCGGACUGUCAAGUCAGUCGUGAAAUACCGAAGCUUAACUUCGGGGCUGCGAUUGAAACUGACAGCCUUGAGUAUCGGAGAGGAAAGCGGAAUUCCUAGUGUAGCGGUGAGAUGCGUAGAUU
Molecule: ribosomal RNA, 305 nt
Filed under: uncultured bacterium
Lineage: Bacteria
Description: bacterial SSU rRNA
Rfam family: Bacterial small subunit ribosomal RNA
Source: RNAcentral